RNAcentral lists this ribosomal RNA (166 nucleotides) under uncultured bacterium. RNAcentral describes it as "partial 16S ribosomal RNA". It matches the Rfam family "Bacterial small subunit ribosomal RNA", at positions 355 to 511 of the family's 1533-position model. The record is from RNAcentral.
UAGGGAAUCUUCCACAAUGGGCGAAAGCCUGAUGGAGCAACGCCGCGUGUGUGAUGAAGGGGUUUUCGGCUCGUAAAACACUGUUGUAAGAGAAGAAUGACAUUGAGAGUAACUGUUCAAUGUGUGACGGUAUCUUACCAGAAAGGAACGGCUAAAUACGUGCCAG